RNAcentral lists this ribosomal RNA (253 nucleotides) under uncultured bacterium. RNAcentral describes it as "partial 16S ribosomal RNA". It matches the Rfam family "Bacterial small subunit ribosomal RNA", at positions 524 to 776 of the family's 1533-position model. The record is from RNAcentral.
UACGUAGGUGACCAGCGUUGUCCGGAUUUACUGGGCGUAAAGAGCGCGCAGGCGGUCGUUCAAGUCGAGUGUGAAAGCCCCCGGCUCAACUGGGGAGGGUCACUCGAUACUGAUCGACUUGAAGGCAGGAGAGGGAAGCGGAAUUCCCGGUGUAGUGGUGAAAUGCGUAGAUAUCAGGAGGAACACCGGUGGCGAAGGCGGGUCUCUGGGCCGAUACUGACGCUGAGGAGCGAAAGCGUGGGGAGCGAACAGG